UACGUAGGUGGCAAGCGUUGUCCGGAAUUAUUGGGCGUAAAGGGCGCGUAGGUGGCGUCGCAAGUCAACGGUGAAAGCUCGACGCUCAACGUCGAGUCGGCCGUCGAGACUGCGAGGCUUGAGCACUGUAGAGGCAGAUGGAAUUCCGGGUGUAGCGGUGGAAUGCGUAGAGAUCCGGAAGAACACCGGUGGCGAAGGCGGUCUGCUGGGCAGUUGCUGACACUGAGGCGCGACAGCGUGGGGAGCAAACAGG
RNAcentral lists this ribosomal RNA (253 nucleotides) under uncultured bacterium. RNAcentral's name for it is "partial 16S ribosomal RNA". It matches the Rfam family "Bacterial small subunit ribosomal RNA", at positions 524 to 776 of the family's 1533-position model. The record is from RNAcentral.